RNAcentral lists this unclassified non-coding RNA (782 nucleotides) under uncultured Tomentella. RNAcentral's name for it is "sequence contains ITS1, 5.8S rRNA gene and ITS2". The stretch from base 247 to 401 matches the Rfam family "5.8S ribosomal RNA". The record is from RNAcentral. Lineage: Eukaryota; Fungi; Basidiomycota; Agaricomycetes; Thelephorales; Thelephoraceae.
AAGUCGUAACAAGGUUUCCGUAGGUGAACCUGCGGAAGGAUCAUUACCGAACUGUCGACACGAGCUGUUGCUGGCCCUCGAAAGGGGGCACGUGCACGCUCUGUUUACACAUCCACUCACACCUGUGCACCCUCUGUAGUUCUAUGGCCUUGGGGACCCUGUCCCCUUGCUGUGGUCCUACGUCUUUACACACACACCGUAACAAAGUCUCAUGGAAUGUAUGUCGCGUUUAACGCAAUACAAUACAACUUUCAGCAACGGAUCUCUUGGCUCUCGCAUCGAUGAAGAACGCAGCGAAAUGCGAUAAGUAAUGUGAAUUGCAGAAUUCAGUGAAUCAUCGAAUCUUUGAACGCACCUUGCGCCCUUUGGCUAUUCUGAAGGGCAUGCCUGUUUGAGUAUCAUGAAUACCUCAACUCUCAUGGUCCGCCAUGAUGAGCUUGGACUUUGGGGGUCUUGCUGGCCUAGUGUCAGCUCCUCUCAAAUGGAUCAGCUUCCCAGUGUUUGGUGGCGUCACGGGUGUGAUAACUAUCUACGCUUGUGGUUUCCUACCAUUAACCUUCAGCAAUGGAGGUUCGCUGGAGCUCACAGAUGUCUCUCCUUGGGGAGGACAGCUUCUUGACGUCUGAUCUCAAAUCAGGUAGGACUACCCGCUGAACUUAAGCAUAUCAAUAAGCGGAGGAAAAGAAACUAACAAGGAUUCCCCUAGUAACUGCGAGUGAAGCGGGAAGAGCUCAAAUUUAAAAUCUGGCAGUCUCUGGCUGUCCGAGUUGUAAACUAGAGAA